GAUGAGCGCUGGCGGCGUGCUUAACACAUGCAAGUCGAACGGACUUUGCUUGAAGCCUAGCGAAAGUAAAGUUAGUGGCGGACGGGUGAGUAACGCGUGGGUAACCUGCCCUAUACUGGGGGACAACAGUUGGAAACGACUGCUAAUACCGCAUAAGCACACAGUACCGCAUGGUACAGUGUGAAAAACUCCGGUGGUAUAGGAUGGACCCGCGUCUGAUUAGCUAGUUGGUGAGGUAACGGCUCACCAAGGCGACGAUCAGUAGCCGGCCUGAGAGGGUGAAACGGCCACAUUGGGACUGAGACACGGCCCAAACUCCUACGGGAGGCAGCAGUGGGGAAUAUUGCACAAUGGGGGAAA
This 360-nucleotide ribosomal RNA is filed under the name uncultured bacterium. RNAcentral's name for it is "bacterial SSU rRNA". It matches the Rfam family "Bacterial small subunit ribosomal RNA", at positions 28 to 380 of the family's 1533-position model. The record is from RNAcentral.